RNAcentral lists this ribosomal RNA (1372 nucleotides) under uncultured bacterium. RNAcentral's name for it is "bacterial SSU rRNA". It matches the Rfam family "Bacterial small subunit ribosomal RNA", at positions 26 to 1391 of the family's 1533-position model. The record is from RNAcentral.
AAAUUGAACGCUGGCGGUAUGCUUAACACAUGCAAGUCAAACGGAAACGAUACUAGCUUGCUAGUAGGCGUCGAGUGGCGGACGGGUGAGUAACGCGUAGGAAUCUGCCUGAUAGUGGGGGAUAGCCCGAAGAAAUUCGGAUUAAUACCGCAUAAUCUAUUCGUAGUAAAGUGGGGGACUUUCGAGCCUCACGCUAUCAGAUGAGCCUGCGUAAGAUUAGCUUGUUGGUAGGGUAAAAGCCUACCAAGGCGACGAUCUUUAGCUGGUCUGAGAGGAUGAUCAUCCACAUCGGGACUGAGACACGGCCCGAACUCCUACGGGAGGCAGCAGUGGGGAAUAUUGGACAAUGGGGGCAACCCUGAUCCAGCAAUACCGCGUGUGUGAAGAAGGCCUGAGGGUUGUAAAGCACUUUCAAUUGUGAAGAAAAGUUAGCGGUUAAUAACCGUUAGCCUUGACGUUAACUUUAGAAGAAGCACCGGCUAACUCCGUGCCAGCAGCCGCGGUAAUACGGAGGGUGCAAGCGUUAAUCGGAAUUACUGGGCGUAAAGCGUGCGUACGCGGUUUAUUAAGUCAGAUGUGAAAGCCCCGGGCUUAACCUGGGAACUGCAUUUGAAACUGGUCAACUAGAGUAUGGUAGAGGAAAGUGGAAUUUCUGGUGUAGCGGUGAAAUGCGUAGAUAUCAGAAGGAACAUCAAUGGCGAAGGCAGCUUUCUGGACCAAUACUGACGCUGAGGUACGAAAGCGUGGGUAGCAAACAGGAUUAGAUACCUUGGUAGUCCACGCCGUAAACGAUGAUAACUAGCCGUUGGGGGGAUUUACCCUUUAGUGGCGAAGCUAACGCGUUAAGUUAUCCGCCUGGGGGGUACGGCCGCAAGGUUAAAACUCAAAGGAAUUGACGGGGACCCGCACAAGCGGUGGAGCAUGUGGUUUAAUUCGAUGCAACGCGAAGAACCUUACCUGGUCUUGACAUCUUGCGAACUUUCUAGAAAUAGAUUGGUGCCUUCGGGAACGCAGUGACAGGUGCUGCAUGGCUGUCGUCAGCUCGUGUCGUGAGAUGUUGGGUUAAGUCCUGUAACGAGCGCAACCCCUAUCUUUAUUUGCCAGCACAUCAUGGUGGGAACUAUAAGGAGACUGCCGGUGAUAAACCGGAGGAAGGCGGGGACGACGUCAAGUCAUCAUGGCCCUUACGACCAGGGCUACACACGUGCUACAAUGGGAAGGACAAAGAGCCGCGAAGCCGCGAGGUGUAGCUAAUCUCAUAAACCUUUUCGUAGUCCGGAUUGGAGUCUGCAACUCGACUCCAUGAAGUCGGAAUCGCUAGUAAUCGUAGAUCAGAAUGUACGGUGAAUACGUUCCCGGGUCUGUACACACC